UGGGGAAUAUUGCACAAUGGGGGGAACCCUGAUGCAGCGACGCCGCGUGGGUGAGGAAGUACUUCGGUAUGUAAAGCCCUAUCAGCAGGGAAGAAAAUGACGGUACCUGACUAAGAAGCCCCGGCUAACUACGUGCCAGCAGCCGCGGUAAUACGUAGGGGGCAAGCGUUAUCCGGAUUUACUGGGUGUAAAGGGAGCGUAGACGGCGUGCCAAGUCUGAUGUGAAAGGCCGGGGCUCAACCCCGGGACUGCAUUGGAAACUGGCAUGCUAGAGUGCCGGAGGGGCAAGCGGAAUUCCUAGUG
This 303-nucleotide ribosomal RNA is filed under the name uncultured bacterium. RNAcentral describes it as "bacterial SSU rRNA". It matches the Rfam family "Bacterial small subunit ribosomal RNA", at positions 355 to 675 of the family's 1533-position model. The record is from RNAcentral.